Leptonychotes weddellii (Weddell seal) is the source of this 915-nucleotide non-coding RNA. NCBI's taxonomy places the organism in Eukaryota, Metazoa, Chordata, Mammalia, Carnivora, Phocidae. The record is from RefSeq and is a predicted model, not a curated record.
UCUUCACCCCUGUCCCCUGUGCCCAGAGUGGGAACUACAGGCCCAGAGCCACGCAUGUGCCCUUCUCAGGCCUCCUCCCUUACAGAUGACACAGCCAUGCUUACAACUGCCUGAUUGCCUGUGUAUCACAAGGCUGCCAUGACAAAAAGUGACAAAGUCCUGUCUCUUCGAGGACCUCAGCUGGGUCUUUUAAUGAAACUUGUUCUGGGCCAGCAUCCAUCGUGAUCUUUGUGCGGCUCUGCACACACUCCCUGAUUCUAUCUGACUCACAUAGUUCUAGAUAGUAUCUCCAGUUCUUUUUGUAGAUGAUGUGUCAUAGAAUGUCAUCAUCUGUUGGUCUGGCCUGACCCCAGUCUGUUAAAACACACGGUAGGAGAGGCUUCGGCGACGUGGCCCAGCUACAGAAGUUAACCACCCCACUCUGCAGGGCCUGAGUCCGGGCAAACACAAGCAAACCCAACCUGCACCACGGGUGCGUGGCUCUGCUUUGGGAGCAGAUUCAGUGUGUGCCUAGGGCACAUGCCUUCUGCAGAAGAUCAGAACUGAUUUCCCUGGCCCCUCUGCGCACCGCCACUUGGGAGAACACACAAGGCGGGCACAGAGCUGGGCUGGUGAGAUGAGAAACUCUCCAGAAAGGACCAGGCGAUCCAAAGGCUGCCCUGUUUCCUGCCUCAGUAGAGAGGCAGCCGAGAUGGCCACUGCUGAGCUUUCUAGUGCCUUUGCUGAGAGACUGUUGUGGAGCUCUGUGCUUACUAAUGUACAGACGGUUUUCAAGUAUAGUCCUUAAAAUCCAAGAGGAUUUGUCCAUGGAUAAAGAGCUAUAGGCUAAGAGAUUCUGCAAGUUCCCAGCUAUUUUUGUAUGUUGGACAUGUUACCCCUUUAAAAGCAACCAGAAAUAAAAGCCUUUAAGCAUUU